Molecule: non-coding RNA, 117 nt
Filed under: bovine gut metagenome
Description: FMN riboswitch (RFN element)
Rfam family: FMN riboswitch aptamer (RFN element)
About the family: The RFN element is a highly conserved domain that is found frequently in the 5'-untranslated regions of prokaryotic mRNAs that encode for flavin mononucleotide (FMN) biosynthesis and transport proteins.
Source: RNAcentral
AUCUUCAGGGCGGGGUGGAAGUCCCCACCGGCGGUAUAGCCCGCGAGCCGAAAGGUACGAUCCGGUGACUUGAAAAAGGAUUCCGGAGCCGACAGUAAAGUCUGGAUAGAAGAAGGU